Long non-coding RNA from Phascolarctos cinereus (koala), 449 nucleotides. RefSeq lists it as uncharacterized. Lineage: Eukaryota; Metazoa; Chordata; Mammalia; Diprotodontia; Phascolarctidae. The record is from RefSeq and is a predicted model, not a curated record.
AAUCCAGCCUCAGACACUUACUAGCUAUGUGACCCUGGUCCUACAGGGAUGAACAACAACACAAGUCCGGUUAUAACUUCAGAAGAUUGGUAACAAAUCAGCUCUUCACCCCUUGGCUGAAAGGCCCCAAUCUUGGUCUCUCUUCUUCACUCCCAAACCACAGCUAUGGAGUCCAGACCAACUGUUCCCCAGAUGAUCUUGCUACCUGCAGUCCCUCGGGUGGCUGCAAGCUACAGCUGUCCUCUCUGUCCCAGAACUGAACCCAGGAACUCUGCUCUCCUGCAAGUGCCCACAGCCAACAGAGUCCCUGCAAGUUGCUGCUGCACUCACCAGGUGUGUGCUAGCUCCUUCUCCCCACAGCUACAGCCCUGGACAUGUCUGAUCAGCACAGCUGUGCUUGGCAUCCCUCGAGAGUGGAAGGUCCUUCAAUCUUCUACUCAGCCAUCAGA